CAGCCGCCGCGGUAAUACGUAGGUGGCAAGCGUUGUCCGGAAUUAUUGGGCGUAAAGGGCUCGCAGGUGGUUUCUUAAGUCUGAUGUGAAAGCCCCCGGCUCAACCGGGGAGGGUCAUUGGAAACUGGGAAACUUGAGUGCAGAAGAGGAGAGUGGAAUUCCACGUGUAGCGGUGAAAUGCGUAGAGAUGUGGAGGAACACCAGUGGCGAAGGCGACUCUCUGGUCUGUAACUGACGCUGAGGAGCGAAAGCGUGGGGAGCGGACAGGAUUAGAUACCCCAGUAGUCCCUGUCUCUUAUAC
Molecule: ribosomal RNA, 301 nt
Filed under: uncultured bacterium
Lineage: Bacteria
Description: partial 16S ribosomal RNA
Rfam family: Bacterial small subunit ribosomal RNA
Source: RNAcentral